CAAUAGCGUAUAUUAAAGUUGUUGCGGUUAAAAAGCUCGUAGUUGGAUUUCUGCUGAGAACGACCGGUCCGCCCUUUGGGUGUGUAUCUGGCUCUUUCUUGGCAUCUUCUUGGUGAACGUUGCUGCACUUGACUGUGUGGAGCGCUACCCAGGACUUUUACUUUGAGGAAAUUAGAGUGUUUCAAGCAGGCAUACGCCUUGAAUACAUUAGCAUGGAAUAAUAAGAUAGGACCUCGGUUCUAUUUUGUUGGUUUCUAGAGCUGAGGUAAUGAUUAAUAGGGAUAGUUGGGGGCAUUAGUAUUCAGUUGCUAGAGGUGAAAUUCUUGGAUUUACUGAAGACUAACUACUGCGAAAGCAUUUGCCAAGGAUGUUUUCAUUAA
Molecule: ribosomal RNA, 380 nt
Filed under: uncultured eukaryote
Lineage: Eukaryota
Description: partial 18S ribosomal RNA
Rfam family: Eukaryotic small subunit ribosomal RNA
Source: RNAcentral